GAUGAACGCUGGCGGCGUGCCUAAUACAUGCAAGUCGAGCGAACAGACGAGGAGCUUGCUCCUCUGACGUUAGCGGCGGACGGGUGAGUAACACGUGGAUAACCUACCUAUAAGACUGGGAUAACUUCGGGAAACCGGAGCUAAUACCGGAUAAUAUAUUGAACCGCAUGGUUCAAUAGUGAAAGACGGUUUUGCUGUCACUUAUAGAUGGAUCCGCGCCGCAUUAGCUAGUUGGUAAGGUAAAGGCUUACCAAGGCGACGAUGCGUAGCCGACCUGAGAGGGUGAUCGGCCACACGGGAACGGAGACACGGUCCAGACUCCUACGGGAGGCAGCAGUAGGGAAUCGUCCGCAGUGGGCGAAAGCCUGACGGAGCAACGCCGCGUGAGUGAUGAAGGUCUUCGGAGCGUAAAACUCUGUUAUUAGGGAAGAACAAAUGUGUAAGUAACUAUGCACGUCUUGACGGUACCUAAUCAGAAAGCCACGGCUAACUACGUG
RNAcentral lists this ribosomal RNA (497 nucleotides) under uncultured bacterium. RNAcentral's name for it is "partial 16S ribosomal RNA". It matches the Rfam family "Bacterial small subunit ribosomal RNA", at positions 28 to 507 of the family's 1533-position model. The record is from RNAcentral.